This is a small nuclear RNA of Capra hircus (goat), 107 nucleotides long. NCBI's taxonomy places the organism in Eukaryota, Metazoa, Chordata, Mammalia, Artiodactyla, Bovidae. The record is from Ensembl.
GUGCUCGCUUUGGCAGCACAUAUACUAAAAUUGGAAAAAUACAGAGAAGAUUAGCAUGGCCCCUGCACAAGGAUGACAUGCAAAUUUGUGAAGCAUUCCAUAUUUUU